RNAcentral lists this long non-coding RNA (5885 nucleotides) under Sus scrofa (pig). Its description in RNAcentral is "lncRNA (ENSSSCG00040017660.1)". Lineage: Eukaryota; Metazoa; Chordata; Mammalia; Artiodactyla; Suidae. The record is from RNAcentral.
UACUGUACAGCACAAGGAACUCUAUUCAAUAUCCUGUGAUAAACCAUGAUGGAAAAGAAUAUAAAAAAGAUUAUGUGUGUAUCUGAAUCACUUUGUUGUACAGCAGAAAUAACACAACACUGUAAAUCCACAAUACUUCAAUUAAAAAAAAAGAAGAGGAGUUCCCAUUGUGGCUCAGUGGUUAAUGGAUCUGACUAGGAGCCAUGAGGUUGUGGGUUUGAGCCCUGGCCUUGCUCAGUGGGUGGAGGAUCUGGCGUUGCCUUGAGCUGUGGUGUAGGUCACAGACAUGGCUCAGAUUCCACAUUGCUGUGGCUGUGGCAUGGGCUGGCGGCUGAAGCUCUGAUUGGACCCCUAGCCUGGUUACCUCUAUAUGCCACAGGUGUGGCCCUAGAAAAGACAAAAAAAAAAAAAAGAGGAAGAAGAACUUGCCCAGGAGGAGACCAAGAUCUGCACUCCUGGUGGAGUGACAGGGGAGAGCAGUUCCCAAAGACAUUGUUUGAGAUGCCAGCACACCUUUGAUUCUGAGAGUAAUCAAAGAGUCCUCUCCUUCCCUCUGUUACCUGGGCCACUAUACACCCAUUAGGAUGGCUAAAUAAAAAGUACUGACAAUACCAAGUGUGGACAAGGAUGCAGAGCAACUGAAGAUCUCAUACACUGCUUGUAGGAAUGCAAAAUGGUGGAGACACUCUUCAGCAGUUUCCUACCAAGUUCUUACCAUAUGACCCAGCAAUCCUAUAUUCCUGGGCAUGUAUCCUAGACAAGUGAAAACUUAUGUACACACACACAUACACACACACACACAAACAGAUUAUACACAAAUGCUUUUUGCAGCUCUAUUCAUGGUCACCAAAAGCUGGAAAUGAUCUAAAUACCCUUUGUGGGAGAAUAGAUAAACACACUGUGGCAUAUCCAUACAAUGAUGUAAUACACAGCAAUAAAAAAGGAAACAACAAUUGAUGCAUGCAACAAAUUGGAUGAACUGCAAAGGCAUUACGCUAAGUGAAAGCAAUCUUGUAAGUUACAUAGAAUGACAGAUGACAUUCUAGAAAACAUAAAACGGAUGUUAAAGAGAUCAGUGGUCACCAGGGGUUAGGGGUUGGGGGAGGCUGUGACCAAACAGGGACGAACAAGAGUUUUUUAUGGUGAUAGAACUGUUCUGUAUCCUGAUUGUGGUGGUGGUUACAUGAAUGAAAAAAGUACACACAAAGAGGUAAACUUUAUCAUAUAAUAAUUUAAAAAAUAAAAUAAAAUUUAAAUGGGUUUUAAAGAGAGAGAGAAAAGAGCCAAGUUUGGAAUCAAUAAAAAAAAAUAAAAAUAAAAACACCCUCUACCCAUCUUUCUCUCUCCUUCCAAUUUCAUUUAUGGACUGUAAACUCUCUCCAGUGCCUCACUUUUCAUGCUUAGGAGGAAUGAUGUCAUUUUCUGGGGGUUAAAAAGUACAAGAAAUAGUAGGAAAGUAAAAUUUCAAAUGACAUUUGCAACGAUUGCUAGAUUUUUGAAUAUGGCAUUUUUUCUUUUGUCAAACUUCUGUGAGAAUCUCACCUUUAUUCCAACUUCUGAGUAUAGGCUAAGAAAAAGAAAUGUUAGGAAUGAAAGAAAAGUAAAAUCAAACAAAAAUUUUCAAAAGAUUUCAAUACAUCAUUUUCAGGGAAGAGAACAUUCCACAAAAUAGAUGUGUGAUGUAAUCUUUUACUGCCACCCCUCCAUUCCCAGAAAAAUGACAUAAUUACCAAAUAAUCGCCAUAUCAACUAUUGACUGUGGGACACUCCAGAUUCCUUUCCCAUGAACAAAUUACUGAGCAAAACAUGGUCUAGACAUAAACAAAAAUGCUUUAAGCAAUGGUGAACUUCUCCCAGUUAGCCCUCAUUUUUGAAAAGAGAGAAAAACAAGCUAAUUAACUAUUCUAAGCAAUUUACCUAAGAAGUCAUGCCACCAAAAAACUCUAGAAAAAUCGUUCCAGUCUUUAAAGGAGCAUCCAGAUAGACUGCCAAAAGGCCAUCGCAAGAAUGAACCUCCAGGAGUUCCUAUUGUAGCUCAAUGGGUUAAGGACCUGAUGUAGUCUCUUUGAGGAUGCAGCUUCAAUCCCUGGCCUUGCUCAGUGGGUUAAGGAUCCAGCAUUGCCACAAGCUGCUGCAUAGGCACAGAUGCAGCUUGGGUCUGGUGUGGCUGUGGCGAAGAGCCCAGCUGCAGCUCCAAUUCGACCCCUGGCCAAGGAAUUUCUAUAUGCUACAGAUUCAGCCAUAAAAAGGAAGAAAAAAAAAUAAAAAGAAUGGUCCUCAAGUGGCUGGGGACUCUGGCAGGACUGGUAGGGGAGGCCCCUGGGGUUUCCUUCCCUUAGUCUUGAAGCAGGUACCUAGGAAUGGGUUGGAGGAGGGGAGGUUGCACUGGCAACAAACAGGUAGCCAUGCCCCCCAGAACAAAGGCUGAGGGGGAGGGGCAUAAGGAUGGGGAAGCGGGAAACACAGAACUGGGAUAAGAGUGGCCAGUGAUGUUCCCUACCUCGGGGGGUCACCCACUCCACAUGGGUGUCAUCAACCCCAGCCGUCCUUCACUACAGAGAACUUGGGGCCUGGAAAAUCAUACCUCUGGGAACAUGCUCCUGCUGUAUAUUAUAGUCUCUGGAUGUUUUCAAAUCAAUUGCCAUUAGAAAGAAAAAAACCCACAUCUUCCAGUUGUAGCUGUUGGCAUCCUUCCAUCGAUCACAUCAUUGUCCAAGUGUGACAACCAUGCAGGUCUCUUGAUGACCAGGACAUCUCAAUUCUAAUUGCACUUAAGUUUCACCAGGGCCCAGGCUGCAGAGAUGGAUUGACGAAUAAGGCCCAGGCAGCAAUAUUUCUAACUCUCCAGUGGACUGUAAUGAUAAAAGCCGCUGACAACACCACAGACCUCGUACUGUUUGAUUUUUUUAGCAUAAUAUGGACAUGGCUCCAAUCCCUAACAUAUUUCUACUACAUUCUAAACACCUGUUGCCCACUUUUCCUAUAUUGGUGCUGUCUUCAUUAGGUAAGAUCUUUGGAUUACCUUUUUUUUUUUUUCCUCUAGGGCCACACUCACGGCACAUGGAAGUCCUGGACUAGGGGUAAAAGUGGAGCUGCAGCUGCUGGCUCGCGCCACAGCAACAGAACGCCAGAGCUGAGCCAUGUCUGUGACCUACACCACAGCUCACAGCGACACUGGGUCCUUAACCCACUGAGUGAGGCCAGGGAUCAGACCCGAAACCUCAUGGAUAAUAGUCAGGUUUGUUAUCACUGAGCCACAACGGGAACUCCCAGAUUACUUUUAAUGCACACAAAAUAAGGCUAUUGGACUUCCUAUUCUGUUAGACUUAGUAUUAACAGGUCUUUCUCUUAAGGCCUUGGAUUGUAAUAAAAUGCACAAAAAGGGUAAUAAUUUGUAUUUUCUAUGGGAGUUCAUUUAAUUGGUGAUUUCAACACAGGCUAUUUAGCUUUUAAUUAUGUCAUCCUGAAUUCUGAUCUUCUGCCUUCAGACAAAACAACAGGACCAUUUUCCUUCACUCAACUUUUAUAAAGUAGAUCAAAACCAGCUCUUUAAAUUGUGUGUUCCCUUCACAGGUAAUUUAAACAGCCUCUGUCAGUAAUGAAGUCCUAAUACAGCCCGGCAGUGAAUACCAAGGAUGAAGAUUCAAUCAAAUCAGAAAACACUUCUGCACUGCCCAAUUUCUUCCAAAAUUAAACAACCAAGAAAUGAUGUUGGGCUACACGAGGUCAUCAAGACACAACUGUUGUAAUUAUCAUUGGAAAGGCCUAAUAAAUGAGUAGAAAAUGAUCUUGCUUGCAAGAAUUAAUUAAAAUCUUGUUAAAAGACCAAACGGCAAUGCCUAUGAGCCCCUGCUAAGUACACAGAAUUAAUGGAGUUGCGCGAGGCACAUUAAAAGUAAGCAAAUUAUUAGUUACAAGCUGAGAUGCUUCAACAUUUAGCUUCUUGAAAGCUGAAGUAAAAAUAUAGCUCAAAAUUCUAAGAUAUGUCUUGUGCGUUAUAACUGCUUUAUUAGGAAAGCAUUCCAAUCUCUUAAGAUCUAAUUUCCUCAGUUGCAAGAAAUUGUUUCCAAGCAAAUUUUUGAAGCUAAAGCAGAGAACUGACAACUCUGCAUGUUAACAUAAAUGAGGGAAGAAAUGGACUCCACUGCAUCUUUUUCUAGAGAUUCUGUGUAGCCCUUGGAGAAAACUCAGGACCCAUAGGUUCCUUGUGGAAAGCUUCUCCAUUAAUUGGGCCUCCUGGAUGACCUCUGACCCCCAUCUUCCCUCCUGUCAUCCUCUCAACUGACAAAUGGCUCAUCUCCAAAGACCAACUCAUAUGCCAUCUCUUUUGAGGAUUUUCACCCCAAGUAUUUUCUGGCAGAAGGAAUCUGUGGCCCACUUGGUAGUUGUCUUGUUCCCUUUUGCAGAUAACCGUGUGAAUGCUCAGAGGGUAGGAUAUAUCCCACCCCAGGACCUACGCAGCACCUUCCCCAUCAGUAAGUGUUCAAACCUAUUUGACAAGCAAAUGGGAAUUUAAGGAAAUGUCCUCAAAGAGUCUCUCCUUUGGAGCCCCUGGAAAUGUGCUUAUUUUCCUUAACAAUUUACUGAAAAAUUUCUAAGUCAGUUCUUCCUAAUCAAGUCUGUGAGGACCAGGGAUGGCUGUUAGGGCAUCUGUAGAACCCUUGCAAUUGUGUAUAAAUUUAAUCUUUAUUCUAGUAUGUGGCUCCCCCACCCCACCACACACCCUGGAGAAUCUCUACAGCUCUUUUUGAGUCUUUAAGGUAACUGUAAUCCAAGAAUCAAUUUUAAAAAAUUGGUCACUGUUCUACAUGUAUUUUCGUAUACAUAUUUUUGUAUUUUGUAGCUUCAUGAAAUGGAAGCUACAAAUGUAAUGAGCUACCUAGGGCAGUUGCCAUCCAUUGGAUAUUUAUUAAAGAAAAUCUCCAUUCUGAUUGCUCCAGAAAUUAUUUGCAUGAGGGCCAAAAUGAACCACGUGACUUGUAGAAUCUUCUAGUGUUGAAACUAGAAGUGGCCUUAGAGAUCAGCUAGUCCAGUGGCUUAAAAACUGUAGAAUGCACAGAACCAUCCAGAGAACACGUCAGAACACUGAUUUCUGGGUAUUGCUCCUACCAUUUAUGAUUUGGUAGGUCUGGCAUGGGCCCAGGAAUGUAUUUCUAAGCACUUUCAGGUGAUGUUGAUGCUGUCUGUGGACCACACUUUGAGGGGCAAUGAUCUAAUCUUAUUGACUCCUGUAUAAAUGGGUAGAUGGAGAAGCUAGGUGUGACCUUGACAAAGUAACACAGCCAAAGAGGAGACCUUGGUUCUCUCCACAGUCUGAUUAGCAGAGUCCUCUUAGACAGGUCACAUCUGAGUCCCUAAAACCUGAAGAUGACCAGCACAGGCACAAAAAUGUCUUAGCUGGAGACAUUCAAAUGUGUUGGCAAUACUAGUUUCACCUGAAACCUCAGCACAUAUGAAGAGAGAAGCAUUUCUUAUUCUGCUCAUUCCAAGCAGAGAGUUAAGAGUUUUGUUGAUGUUGUUUUUAGUCUUUCCUCUAAAUAAUAAAUCUCGGUGGCACUUUUAUUGCUGUGGCUAAAUGUUCUUUGGAAGUGAAAACAUUAUGUCAUCCUUCUGACAAUGCAAUGAGAAGGUUCUUUUCAUGGGGUCACUUUCAUAGUGUUCUAAUGAUGACAUAUUUCUCUAUAAACCUUUUAAAUAAGUUUUUUUUUUCAAUUAUUUUAAGGAGUGUGUUUUCCAGCAUCUGGAAAAAUCCUCUCCAAGCCCUCUCCACAACCAAAUAACACUAUCAAUAAAAGCAAGAUCUACAAGAUUUGGCUUCAACCAAGUUUUACCUUGUCUUGCACCAUCCUAGACUGCUGAGAACUAGCAUCAGAAUACUGUUUGCU